This is a non-coding RNA of Podarcis lilfordi (Lilford's wall lizard), 6786 nucleotides long. Lineage: Eukaryota; Metazoa; Chordata; Lepidosauria; Squamata; Lacertidae. The record is from the annotation of a GenBank genome assembly.
GUAUGGAAACCUGGGGAGGAAGAGGGGAGGGAGGGGGGAAUCCUUGUUUAAAAUCCUUUUCAGUAAGAUGAAAGCAGAGUACUUGAUAAGACCACUUUUCUGAGAGUACCUUAUUUUGUUUUAAAAAAUCCUAAACACGUAGCAGUAGAUAGAUCACUAGGAGCACGGCUGUCAUCAUGGUUGAGUAUCGCUGAGAGCCUGCCAUGACCCACUGCUGACCACCAGAGCCCCCAGGCCCUAUACCUGGCUAUUGUUGCAAGCUCACCUGUCCUCCCAGGUGUGCAAACAGCAGAAAAAGAAGCACCAUUCGCUUCCCUUUGCCUUCUCCUUCUGGGCAGGUGUGUGGAUUGUAUCCAGAGGAAAAGGGCAAUUGAAUGGGCAGUGGUGACAGUAGCAAGGAGGUGGGCUUCCCCAAAGAUGUGGGUCCCUUGAGAGCUUCUUGGUGUACUGCAGCUUUGUAAAUAACAGAAGCCUGCAAAAAAGAAGAAGCAUUAGCUUACUAAGGGCCUAGUAGCCCAUUCUGGCUGCAGAGGGAGGGUCAUAUGCUACUAGCCAGUCAGCAAGCUAGUAAAAUGAAUAGCCUUCUCCCAAGCAGACCAUUGAUGGAGUGAGCUGUCCUUGUUCUGCCAGGACACUGACUUGCUUUUAGGGAAUUCCUGGUCACAUACACUGACCAGGCGAGCUGUUAUGAGGCUGGUGUUGCGGAAUCUUCAUUGCUGAAGGUAUUUAAGAGCAAGUUACAGCUGAAUGGGAUUGGGUUGCCUGAGGUGGGCUCAACCCCUAAAGUCAAAGAACUGGCAGGUGGUCUCUUCCUCAGUGCUUCCAAGAGGGUGCUUACAGUGGGUUCAGUGCUUCUCAAACAUGCAAACAUGUCUGUAUUCACCCCUACCUAUAUAUAUAGAGAGAGAGAGAGAUUUACCCCUUCUGAGGAAAGUCCAAUAAGAGGGGGAGAAACUUGUUGGUAAUGACAUGUUUGUGAUAUCUCAAUAACCUUUUAGCAAAUUAAGCUCCCGCCUAGAAGCACCUCUGGUCAUGUAUUCAAAUAUAUCUACCACUUUAACAAAGGCAACUCUAGAUUGGAUGCUUUGCCGUAAUGGCCAGUUGUUGAUAUCAGUGUAAUACAUUAAGGGGGGGAAAGGCCAAGGGGUCAAAAGAAACUCAUACACACAACAAUUGCUUUGCUGCAUGCUUAGGACAGUUUUUGUCUCUAGCAUCAGCCCUUAUUACAGUGUAGGGCUGGAUCUACAUUGAUCUGUUAAACGUUACUAAAUAUAACAUGUAACGUUCAGUGCUGUUUUCCAUUGCCAGUGGUUCACUGCUCUGCAGCACCCUCUGGUGCCACAUUUUAAUAACGCAUUUUUAACAUUAUAAACCACAAGUGUAGAUCUGCCCUGGGAUUCUGCACAGGGCGGGGGGUGGGGGGGUGAUGCCCCACCGGCCCUCACGAGCAGUUUUGUGAUGUUGCAGUGGGGAGCCAGAAAAGUCUCAGCAUAUACAAAAAGCCAACUCUCCAUUAGUUCUUUGGAUCCAGCCAAUGAGUUUCGGGCCAUAUUAAUGCAAGGGCUUUUUAUUUUUAUUUUAUUUAAACAAUACAUGCCCCAAAGGAACAAAAUCUAAAUUAGAUGUGGUGGACAUGUUUGACUUCUGUAAAUUUCCAUCUUUAAAAAAACCCUCACCUUUUUCUUUUAUUUUUCUGUUUAUAAAACUGUACAGAAAUGGAUUUUAUACAUUAAUAUGCAUCCAAUAAUAAAUAUCUGGACUGAAGUACAGUUGCUUUAACACUUAAGAUGACAUAGCUAGAUAAAUAAAUAAAUAAAGCGAAAGAAAGAAAGAGAAGAAGGCUUAUCAGAUCUGAGUGAAAUAUCUUAAUUUUGUGGCAUUAUAUGCAAAAAAAUAAUAAUCUAGGGAAUGUAAUAUUUUCAUUGCUUAAGGCUGUAGUUUAUAUCAUGUCUUCAAAGCUGCUUUUUAAAAGAUGGGCAGAAUCCACCAAGGAGCUACUCUUGUUCAGCUCCCAGUCAUUAAAAUGGAGCAUGUGCAAGAAAAGUUCCUUGAGGAGUGUGCCCAGUGUGUUAAAGCAUCUCAGCAUCGCUGUAGCUACUCUACAGUUAUGGCACUUGUAGCCGUCAUUUCAGGAGCGACAGUGAACUAAGCUUUUACGCUUCACGGCAGAAAUAAAUGUAUAAAGGCAUUUGUUCAAACUUAUGUACCCUCGACACCAUGGGUGUAACUUCACCAAGUUGAAAUGCUUAGCUUUGCAAAAGCUGAAAUGCUUAUGAAUAAAUGUCAAAAGGAGCAAUUCAGAAGAAGCUAGGCUCACCUUCAUCCUAUGGGACUCAACGGCUUUAAACGUUUCUAACAUUUAUUGCAUUGUCCGAAGAGUAAAAAACAACAAUGUCAUAUGGGGGUGGGAAUUAAUUGUCUAACAAACCACAUCCUUCUGAGAAUCCAAGUAACUAUGCUGCGAAGGAGGUACCUAUGUGUUGCAUAACGCAUAGGUUUCCAUGCGCCAGUGAAGGUGUAGGUGUUGCAUGCCAGUAACUUCACCAAGGGCUGGUUCACUUAUCACUUGAUCAUUCCUCAUUUGUUUGCUUAGUACUUAGCAACUCUCACAGCCCGGGGUUCUAUGCUAGGACAGGUGUGUUUAGUGGUUUAAGCAUGCCUAACUCUGCAUAAGAUGAGGCUGUCCCGUUCAAUAUGCAAUCUGUCUCUGUUGUAAAGUUCUGUUGUUUGGGUUGGCAUCAAGUUAUGUGAAAUUUCUGUCAGUGGCGCACAUAUAUCGUCACAGCCGAUAAGUAAUGGUCAUAUGUGUUUGAAGUAGGCCCUAAAUUCAACUCACUGUGCAAACAUACCCUAGGACAGUAUCCUUCAAUCUUGGGUCCCUAGAUGCUGUUGUAUUACAAAACUCUCAUCAUUCUUGACCGUUCGCCAGCAGCAUCUGGGAACCCAAGACUGAAGACACUGCCCUAGAAUGAUGCCCAGGAGUCCCAAGGGCGUGAUGAGGAACAAUAGCAUGGGAACAACCAGUAAUAACGUGGGAACAACCAGUAAUAACCUGGGAACAACCAGUACUGCACCAUAUCCUAAACCUGCUGAGACGUGUUACAGUAUGACAUGGGAGAAGAAAAGGCAUCCUGUGCCCAAGAUCUGUAUCUGUAUCUGUACCAAGAUCUACCCUUGAACUGUUGCAACAUGCUUGGCAGGCAGAGAAUCUGGUGCCAUACUUCCCAACUUGUGCAAGGCAACCAUUAUGCAUGGGUCAAGACGACAGCAGCUUUUGUUGUUCUGAGCCAGCAAAUAGGCUGGGCAGCCUGACCCUAAGCAGCUGCCUUAUCUGGAGUGGCAGAGAUGGAACAAAAGCAAACAGAUUCUGCCUUCCACUGUUCUGUGCGAUGCCAGUACCCUGGUGCCACUUCUGUGCCAUCCCAGCACAGAGGCAACGCAACAUGGAGCUAGGUUCAAGCUCUCUAUUUAGCACGCUUCAAACGGUAGCUGCAAACUCCUCAUCACAAAUAGUGGGUUCCGGGCCUCAAACGUUACCAGCAAAGAAUUGGGUCUUUUUUUUUCUUUUCUUUUUUUAGCUGAAGGUUUACAAUUGUCGAAAUGGUAAUGAGAAUGAACUAUAUGAUAUGUCUGUGCUGCUAUUCAACCAUGAUUCUUUGAACAAAGUUUUAUUUUGUGGCAUCACCCAGUUCCGAGACUUUUCAAAGCUGCUUUAGGUGUAAUUUGAAGUACUCACGUUACAAGGCAUUUAGGUAGAUGCUGACAAUUGAUGUUUUAUUGUGUCUCUGUCCGCUGGGCUUCACAGUAUCGUAAUAGGUGUAUGCCAGAGAAGGCCAGGUGUGCUGUUGAUAGUCUAUAUUUUAUGCAGGUGAUCUUCGGUGUUCCCUCCUCCCAUCUUUGCUGCAGAAUUGUACAGUGUUGUGGCUGCACUAGCUAUAAGGACAGUUGAUACUGCUAAUAGUCAUGUUAAACAUAUUUAGAAAGGUUGAAUGUAUAUAAAAGCUUGAAACUGCCCUUUCCCUGAGCUUUUUCACCGUGACUGGCAGCCUUUCCUGGUUUCACCUGGUACAUUGUUUUGGUUUAGGGGUGGGGAAGCCCUGAAAAACAUUGAAUCAGUAGCACUUUGUCCUUGCACAAGGAACCAAGACUCAAGUGACUCUCCCUAGGCUGUGCCAUAAUUCCACAGCAGAACUGACGUUUCCACAGGAGUCUCUUGCUUGUGUGCUCAUUUAUACUUAUGCACUCAACCAAGCUGGCUCCCAUUAUCCUUGUGCAUAAUAAUUCAGUUCUGAGGGGCCAGUUCUAAAAAAAAUGACAGUGCUGAGAAAAUAACUGCACAUAGAAUGAAUUACAGAAUUGCAGAGUUGGAAGGGACCCUGAGGAUCAUCUAGUCCAGCGCCCUGCAAUGCAGGAGUAUGCAGCUGUCCCAUACUGGGAUCGAACCUGCAACCUUGGCGUUAUCAGUACCAUGCUCUAACCGUGCCACAGGUCCUACUAUGUGAAACUGCUGGAGGUAGUUAACAGUGAAGCUUUUGCGGUCUCUGUGAAUGGGAAGAAGUAAGAAAAUGUCUCCAGAACGGCCCUCCCUGGCCAAAUACAUUGUGUGCAGGCUUCCUAGGAAGCACUGAAGAUUCCCUCAAGAAAGAAAGAGCCCUGGAAGAUGGACCAAACUAUCCUGCCCAAAUACACACACACACACAACACACACACAGUGGAAUCUUCAGUGCCUGCACACACAAACCAGUUUGGUUAGGUUUCAUUCCAGAGCUGUGCUGCUCCAGUGUUAACAAUGAGCUGCAAGCAAAUACACAGGCACCCCUCUUCCCUUCUUCAUCAGUUUCAGGUGUAAUGAAGCCAGCAUCUAAAGAUGGCAGAGUGGCUCUCAACGACAAAUGGGUCAGAGUGCAUUGGGUUUCAGCUUUGUUUCUGGAGGUUUUUGUUUUACCCCAUAUAGGCUACUAAGGACCAAAUUAUAAAUGAUCUUAACUGUUUGAAUGUAUUUGACAUAUGUAUUUUUCACUGAUACUGAGAUAGGGAGGAACGUGAACCAUUCCCUGUUCCUCCAUGGUUCGGAUGAAAAUAGCCAACCCACAGCUAGGGAUGAGAGAGAAACUCCCAUUUGCUUUUUCUAUUUUGAUUUGCACUUCCCCAAACAAUAUGUGAACUGGAACGCAAGCUAUCCUUCAGAAUUCACAUGUCUCCAGCCAAAAUGUAUUAUGUAUGGGGAAUGUACGGGCUUGCAAAGCAAACAAACGUGUACAAUAGGAGAAGCGUGCCCUAAAAUGCUGGUGAGGACUUCUAAAAGUAUCUCAGAUUUAUCAAUGUGACAAACUGGACUUAAGGUUGGAAAUCAGAGCUGACAGCCUUGUCCCAUCCCUAUCUACAGCUGCUUCCCUAGGAGGAAAGCUUCCAUUAAGUGCCAAUGGAAGCUUCCCCGCCAAGUCUGCUAGCAGAUUUUGGGGAGUGAUUUCCACUGGGAACACGGCAAGUGGGAAGAGUUACCCAUCACCCCUUCCCUGAGCACCACUGUCCAUCUCCUGAUCACAAGGCCAGGGCCGUUAUGCAGAAGAAGAAACAGCUUGACGCUGGACCUCCUGUGUGGAUCAGAAGUGUUUGCUGAUGUGGCACUGGGGAUUCGUUUCUGCAGAUAUUGAAUGGCUAUGCAACUGUGGUUUAUGUAAGCCGCUUUUCAAUAGCAGUUAUGGAGGCAAACCCAGUUCCAUUUGACCCCAGAUCAUUGUGGUAUGACGAGCCACUAACUACUUUCCAGUGCUAAACAACAACAGCAAAAUGGAAGCGGCGUACAUGGCUUGGGUUCUAGCGGGAGAGUUAGACAGACCUUCCAUGUUCAGAGGCAGUGGGUGAUGCAGGAGGGCUUCAUUCCACAAAGAGAACCACCAGGGUUUGCAUCAAUAGGAAGGCUGAAACAUUUCUGAAAGCGGCAACAUUUUCUUUUCUAACUGGAUUGAGAGAAAACAAAAGAUGAGUUAAUUUAAUUAGCAGGUUGUUUUUUGUUUGUUUUUUUAAAUCUGCUUAAAGUUAAUGCAGCUUCAUCCAUACACAACAUCCAGCCACGCUGGAACAGUUAAACCAUCAAGGAAGGUCCAUGCAUAAGGGCUGCUGCAACAGUGAUGCACAGAUGUUCCAAGCAGGGCUCAACGGAGACCUGCUACCACCUCCCUCCCUCCCCAUCUAUCCACACACAUGCAGGCAGCAAUCAUGGGACAUUAUGUAUGUUUCUCUCAUCUCCCCACCCAGCCAUCCCUCUAUGCACCUUGCAAACAUUUACUUGCAAGCACAAGUAACUUGCACUGAGCAGAGAGGAAGGCAUGAUGAUGAAAUUGGAGCCUCUCACACAAUUGCUACUUCCCAGUGCACUGCAAGCAGGCUAGCUGUGCAGAUUAGCCAUGCAAGUGGACCGUGCUCCUAUUUUUCUUCUGUUUGGAUUUUAAUUAGCACCAGCAUUGCUGUAAUACACAGAUUUAGUUUAUUUCCGUGUUUUGGAUGUUGUAUGUAAUGUUUUUUUUUAAAAAAAAAAUGUUUGCCUGUAUAUUACCAUUUAUUAAAAUAAUCACAUCGUUUUAUUUUAAAGUCGACAUAAAUCAUGCUGCCAUUAAACGUUCCAUGUCUUCAGCUAAUUUUGUGUGAGAGAGAAAUAAAAUAAAGCACACUGUGAGAUGUCGGCUUUUGGUUUGAUUCCGAGUACUGGAAAAUUAACGUGCUGUUUCCAUAGACCGUGGCCUAAUAAUUAAAGCGAGGCCAAAACAUCCAUUUCCACUUGGCAAU